UGACCGACACUUAAUGUAGUCUUAAACGGCCAAACGGACAGCCAGGUCAAAAGCCGA
RNAcentral lists this small RNA (57 nucleotides) under unclassified sequences. RNAcentral describes it as "Streptococcus sRNA SpF59 (ldcC RNA)". It matches the Rfam family "Streptococcus sRNA SpF59 (ldcC RNA)". The record is from Rfam by way of RNAcentral.